Long non-coding RNA from Daphnia carinata, 2204 nucleotides. RefSeq lists it as uncharacterized. NCBI's taxonomy places the organism in Eukaryota, Metazoa, Arthropoda, Branchiopoda, Diplostraca, Daphniidae. The record is from RefSeq and is a predicted model, not a curated record. The transcript is spliced from 13 exons.
UGGUUAUCGUGAUGUUUAAGGUCGUAAUUGAGUGGUUACUCUUCUUCAUACGAGUAUUAAUAUUUCUGUUGGUUUCGGUCAAUCUCCCGGUGAAGCUAAAUUAUUAUUGCCUGGAGUUGUGGAUUGAGAUUUAUUUCCACCCUUGCGUUUCUGGAGACUGUUCAGCUAUGAAGCAGGUGUUCAUUCCUGGGCUUGUACACUCCACCUGCAUAUUAAUUUAACCCUGCUUAAGUAAUUGGGAAAGUUACAUUAGUAACAAGUCUUCUAUUCCUUCAAAGAAAAAGCUGCCAUUAAGUUGUUUACAACCACCCGUUAUGCUGAUUAAUCUUCGCCAUGGUUAAGCUUUUCUUCCCUUCCUCUCGUCACAUGGGUUCCUUGUCGUUUCUCUUGUGGAAAUGGAGGCGGCCAUUCCUACAACCGGCGUCUGGGCGAGUUGGCCAGGAACAUAGGGACUCGCUGCUGGCCUGGCCGGGGCCUUUCUUACUAGAAGGAAAGCUGCGGUGGUUGUUUGGAGAAGAUAGGAUAGUUCAGGUUUUCGGCACCAAGGGAACGUCGUUUGACGUGUAACAUUACAAUAUCUUUGAUGCUUCUAGGUAUGGACAUUCGAAAAUUCUUACUGCCGGCAAGGUGAUCCCAGGGAUGAGUUAGGGCGAAAUGGUGAAACGUGGAGUGGCGGCCUCAUAGCGCAUUGAUGAACGACUGGUCUACAAAUCAUUUCUGGUCUUUGAUAUGGUUGUAAAAUUGCCGUGUGAAUGUUUUCCAUGCACAUUGAUCUGUCUUAUUUCGACGGCUGGCCCGGCAGUUUGUUGAAGACGCCCAAUAUAGGCGCCUUAGCAGCGAAUGUGAUGAUAAAAGUUGGGUGAAUUGGUUUCAUUAGGGUUUAACUACCAAAUACUACUGUUCCUAUCAUAGAUUAUACUACUACUAGAUCAUGGUAUUUACGAGGCUAAACGGAAACUCGUGUUGGUAAUAGUCCUCUGACGUUCUUUUGUCCGGAAAUUAGCAGUUCGACAGUUGUAGAAGAUUUCCUAGGAAUGCUUGAGUUAUGUUGAGGAUUAUGAAAAAAAGAAAAUUUCCGUACACAAGUGUAGAACUAAUUCUUUGAAACAUUUGCAGGAAAAGUUGCCGAAACCAUUUUCUCGUCCCGCCAUUUUGAGGAAAAGAUGGCCGAACUCUUGCCAUCAUCCAAUAGAAUUUGAGAAGAACAACAGGCUGGGUAAAGGGAAAGCAAUUGGAGUCGCUCAUUUCAGUGGCCAAUUUGUUUGAAAAGGUGCAGUAGCAACUUGCUUCUGCUCUGUGCACAGAACUGUCAUGUCUUUUAUCGGAAUUCUGGAAAUGGAUUACUGAUCUAAGGCUAACAAGUUAUUCGACUACAUGGUGGAUAAUAUGCAGGUGCCCUGAACUGCAAGGAAAGUGAAUAUACUGCUAUAAGUUAAAACAAGGUUUAACGUGGAAGAGAUAUGUAGGUGUUGCUGUUGCAGUGACCAAACGGGUGGUGUUUAACAAAAGGAUAUGGAAGUUACACAUAAGCCACAAGGAAAUUUAAGUGAAGGGUUUCAAGUUACAAUGCUAUUCAGCCUCGGUUUCUUUUCUUUUAUGUUCUUAUUUUUUUUUUAAGAACAUUAGCCUAAUUAACGUUGCAGACUUAACAGCCAUGAAGAUGACAGAAUUCUAGUAAACCUGUUGGACUGAAGGUGGCUGGUGAAGAAAAAAGGGCAAUCGAUGACAUUGGUGAAAUACGAAGAUGUGAUAGUAAACACGGUAGCUAAUUUUAUUUGGGUCAAAAUAAUUUUAGAAGAAAUUUCCGGUUAGAUUGCAGUGAAAAUGAGCUCUCGGCGUUGUACCGUGCGACGUGGUGAUAACGAGCUCAUACCAGGUCUUGUAUUUGGAACCUGCGGAUUGGAUGAUUGUUCUGGGAAUUUGCAUCUGCUAUACGUAUACGACUACUCGGGUCGUGGAUGAUAGUAGGUGGAGUGGAACUGAGGAGUUGUUUAAUGUUGUUGGACAAAAUGGAAUUGUGACACGAAAACGGGAAAGAUGAUAAACCGCAGCUUUAUCAUUAUAUUGGACGAAUCGGAGAAAAAAAAAUUUGGUUGUCAAUUCUUCAAAUGAAACUAUAUCGAAUGUUAUUCCAACAUGUAUUGACCUAGAAGCAAUUGAUGCAGGUUAAUCUUAGUUAACAGUAGACAAGACUGUUUAACUAA